AGGAACUGUUGACACGCCAUCUCUGCAUGACAGAAUCCAGGCCAGCCCGGACCCCAAAAAGGCACUGAGUGACUUCCUGAGCAGACAGAAGAUGGGGAGGCUAGCAACGGCAGAAGAAGUGGCCCAGUUGUGCGUGUACUUGGCUUCUGACGAAUCUGCCUAUAUGACUGGUAAUGAUGUCAUCAUCGAUGGAGGCUGGAGCUUGUGAUUUCUAAAUCAUAACAGUGGAAGAGAAGCCCCUUCAUAGUUAGGCUGGGUUUGAAUACAAAUUGUAAUCACUUACAAAUUUAUGUAGCACUUAGUGGUUUAAAAAUCACACCCUUAAAUUUCAUUGCUAAAGGAUACAUUGAAUUUAAUCAGAUAUUUUCUUUUAUUUCUCAUAGAGACAAAUCAUAGUAAUUGUCUACAUUGAUUCAAUUGGAAGGUAUUCAAUCUAUUACACAAUUCUGAAAUAUUCUUGGUCUUUUUCUGUCCUUUUGAACUUUUCAGACACUCAGAAUAAAAUUAUGUUAUAUUCA
Long non-coding RNA from Gracilinanus agilis (Agile Gracile Mouse Opossum), 518 nucleotides. RefSeq lists it as uncharacterized. The transcript has 3 exons. NCBI's taxonomy places the organism in Eukaryota, Metazoa, Chordata, Mammalia, Didelphimorphia, Didelphidae. The record is from RefSeq and is a predicted model, not a curated record.